CCUACGGGAGGCAGCAGUGGGGAAUAUUGGGCAAUGGGCGCAAGCCUGACCCAGCAACGCCGCGUGAAGGAAGAAGGCUUUCGGGUUGUAAACUUCUUUUCUCAGGGACGAAGCAAGUGACGGUACCUGAGGACUAAGCCACGGCUAACUACGUGCCAGCAGCCGCGGUAAUACGUAGGUGGCAAGCGUUAUCCGGAUUUACUGGGUGUAAAGGGCGUGUAGGCGGGAAAGCAAGUCAGAUGUGAAAACCAUGGGCUCAACCUGUGGCCUGCAUUUGAAACUGUUUUUCGUGAGUACUGGAGAGGCAGACGGAAUUCCUAGGGUAGCGGUGAAAUGCGUAGAUAUUAGGAGGAACACCAGUGGCGAAGGCGGUCUGCUGGACAGCAACUGACGCUGAGGCGCGAAAGCGUGGGGAGCAAACAGGAUUAGAUACCCCUGUAGUC
Molecule: ribosomal RNA, 443 nt
Filed under: uncultured bacterium
Lineage: Bacteria
Description: partial 16S ribosomal RNA
Rfam family: Bacterial small subunit ribosomal RNA
Source: RNAcentral